This 140-nucleotide ribosomal RNA is filed under the name uncultured bacterium. Its description in RNAcentral is "partial 16S ribosomal RNA". It matches the Rfam family "Bacterial small subunit ribosomal RNA", at positions 355 to 509 of the family's 1533-position model. The record is from RNAcentral.
UGGUGAAUAUUGGGCAAUGGGCGCAAGCCUGACCCAGCAACGCCGCGUGAAGGAAGAAGGCUUUCGGGUUGUAAACUUCUUUUCUCAGGGACGAAGCAAGUGACGGUACCUGAGGAAUAAGCCACGGCUAACUACGUGCC